Molecule: ribosomal RNA, 253 nt
Filed under: uncultured bacterium
Lineage: Bacteria
Description: partial 16S ribosomal RNA
Rfam family: Bacterial small subunit ribosomal RNA
Source: RNAcentral
UACGUAGGAGGCGAGCGUUGUCCGGAUUUACUGGGCGUAAAGCGCGUGUAGGCGGUUCGAUUAGUCUGCUGUGAAAGCUCCCCGCUUAACGAGGAGAGGUCGGUGGAUACUGUCGGACUUGAGGACGGUAGAGGGGGGUGGAAUUCCCGGUGUAGUGGUGAAAUGCGUAGAUAUCGGGAGGAACACCAGUGGCGAAGGCGACUACCUGGCCUGUUCUUGACGCUGAGGCGCGAAAGCUAGGGGAGCAAACGGG